Molecule: long non-coding RNA, 1162 nt
Organism: Aedes aegypti (yellow fever mosquito)
Lineage: Eukaryota; Metazoa; Arthropoda; Insecta; Diptera; Culicidae
Exons: 3
Source: RefSeq, a predicted model, not a curated record
UACAAUGACUUUUUUUUGGGAUCAUGAAGUACUAGAAUAACAAACACAAUACCUACAUUUGUAUCUGCCUUGCAAAGCUGAAAUCUAAUUUUACUCGCUACCCGCGAAUUUCAAAUCCGCGUUGCCAUGUGAUAAUAAAUAAACAAUCGUUGAUUCGCCAUGGGGAAAAUUUGUUGUAUCGACAGUUGCAAAACUCGGGACAAAUUCGGCAUCCCAUCCCAUACGGUGGUUUCCCUUUACCGUUUUCCCGAAGACAACGACAAGUAAGUUAACGCAUUUAUAAUCUUCUUUAUACAUUAGUUUAUCUUCCGUUUAUUUUUAGCUUAACCGUUUGGAAAGAAUUCUGCCGUAAACACGGCACGGUGUUCAAAGGAAAGCUAGACCAUCGCCGAAUUUGUUCUCGGCAUUUUGAUGCAUCAUGCUUCAAGGAUCCGUUUGAUUUCGUUGAGUAGAACCGUCUCAAAAGCUCUCCAAGAGUAUGUUGAAAUGGUAGCAUGAGCAGCGAAGUAAUUCCCACGAUAGAGUUCAUAGACCUGAUGGACAGCUUGUUCGAUACUUUUAACUCUCGUUUUGAACAUGAUAAGCUAAAGCCUCUACGAUCUGCUAUAUGCGAUAAUAGCGAACAUUGGGAAUUUCUCGUUAAAACAAAAAAUAUUCUUGAGAAAGCCAAGUUUAUCCCGAAAUCGUGCUUCGAUACCUCAACGGCAUUGGAUGAAGCUCAAAAUCUGCUCACAGCUAAACAGAGAUUCCCUCCAUUUAUGAAAGGAUUCAUUCAGAACAUAAAUGCGAUUCGACUGCUGUGGGAUAUUUCAAAAACAAAAUUCAAUUUCCUCUAUCUGUGUACUAAUUGUAUCUGUCAAGACCCACUGGAGAAUGAAUUUGCUACGCCUAAUGUUUUGCAGUUUAGCACGGCAAUCAAAUAUAAUGGGGUGGAAAGAACAUUAGACCAGCAAGACAAUACAAACUGUAUGAAACGGUCACCCUGAUUGAUAGCAAUGAUGAAGAAGCGAAAUCUGGAGACCCUUUGAGCGUUAUUGAUAAAAAUAGCCUAGUUGAUUUACCUGAUGAUAAUUUAGAUUAUGAAAACCUAGAAGAACCGUUUUGUCUCAAAUUCCGAACAGACUCAUAUUCCGAACACUUCGUUUUUGUAUGGCGAUUUGGU